Molecule: ribosomal RNA, 374 nt
Filed under: uncultured eukaryote
Lineage: Eukaryota
Description: partial 18S ribosomal RNA
Rfam family: Eukaryotic small subunit ribosomal RNA
Source: RNAcentral
CAAGAGCGUAUGUAAAAGUUGUUGCAGUUAAAAAGCUCGUAGUUGAACCUUGGGUUUGGUUGGCCGGUCCGCUUUUUUGCGAGUACUGGAUUCAACCGAGCCUUUCCUUCUGGCUAACCAGUCGUUUCGGCGGCUGGCGAACCAGGAUUUUUACUUUGAGAAAAUUAGAGUGUUCAAGGCAGGCAUUAGCUUGAAUAUAUUAGCAUGGAAUAAUAGAAUAGGACGUUAUGGUUCUAUUUUGUUGGUUUCUAGGACCAUCGUAAUGAUUAAUAGGGACGGUCGGGGGCAUCAGUAUUCAGUUGUCAGAGGUGAAAUUCUUGGAUUUACUGAAGACUAACUACUGCGAAAGCAUUUGCCAAGGACGUUUUCAUUAA